AGCAACCCUUCUGGGUCCCCUUCCACCACGCAGAAGCUUUACUUUCGCUUUCACUUUACUUUUGCUUUCACUUUAACAAAUCUUGCAGCCGCACACUCUUUGGGUCCGCCCGUUUCUCUAAUCAAGUUGUAACACUCGCUGCUGUGGUCCACAGCUUCAUUCCUUGAAGCCCGUGAGACACGAACGCUUCCAUUGAGAAAAACCUUCCAUCAGAAGAAGACUUCUCGUCUCAGUGGGACUGCUGAGUUGAAUGGAUGACCUUUGUUUGUUUAAACUGUUGGAAAAUCAAUAUUUAAAAUGAAAUCUAGAAACUGAAGUGUGCCCUCUGCAGGAUCACCAGAAUGAUGGGAAAACUGAACACAAUCAACUCAUGAACUCCCCAAGGUCAGAGGUUUGGUCUAAUUCAAUAACUAAUAUCUAGAAGGUAUUCUAGAAAAAUGCAUGUUAACAGAGUGAGCAAAAGUAACAGUCAAAGAAACCCAGGAAUCACAUUUCAUGCCUAUAUUAGUCUGUUCUCACACUGCUAGUAAAGACAUAACUGAGACUGGGUAAUUUAUAAAGGAAAGAUGUGUAAUUAAUUCAUAGUUCCACAUGGCUGGGGAGGCCUCAUCAUCAUGGCAGAAGGCAAAAAUGAAGCAAGACACGUCUUACAUGGCAGCAGGCAAGACAGCGUGUGCAGGGGAACUGCCCUUUAUAAAACCAUCACAUCUCAUGAGACUUACUAUCACAAAAACAGCAUGGAAAAACUCCCUCCCAUGAGUCAGUUACCUCCCACCAGAUCCCGCCCAUGACACAUGAGGAUUAUGGGGGCUACAAUUCAAGAUGAGAUUUGGGUGCAGACACAGCCAAAUCAUAUCAUAUCCUCUGUUUUCCAAAGAUCUUAUAUAAUUUAGUUCUACUUUAGAAAAAUUAAUCCAAUGAUAGUUGGCAGUAUAUACAGUUGUGUAAAAGAUGGGUAAUUUUUUGCAUACUCGUAAGAGUUCAGAAAAUUAAGAUAUAAGCUAUUGGUUAAGAGAGGGAAUAGCCUCUCUCAUUAUGACAAAAAUUAAUAGUUGAUUAUUUUUUUCAUAUAUGAUAAAAAUCUUAGUCCAUAUGUGUUUCAAUUUAAAAGACAUGAGAAGAUAAUAUGAUUUUUCCUCCAAAGUUGACUGGUUGGCUAUUAGACUGCAAAUCUCAUAAUAUAAUUACCUUGGUGGAAACAUAGUAAUUUAAAUAUUGGACAUUAGAUUUGCAGGUGCAGGAAAUCAAUUGUGUCAAUAUACAAAAAUUUUAUUAUACUAUUACAAUGAUUCACACUAAAAAUAUUUGGCGGGGAUUGAUAUAUAAAUAUACAUGGCAAUGUAUUAAUUUAUAAUGGUGGUGAUUUCUCUAACUACCUUCACCCCAGCUAUAUAUCAUAUAGUCAUAGUUGGAAACCACCGAGGAGGGUCACUCCAGCUGAGAGAGUCAAACUGUCAAGUCCCUACACUCUGACAUCACCCUGCUCAAAAGGGUUCUCCAUCUGCCGUUGCUCUCUUUUCUAUCGGUCAAUGCCUCAUGUAUAAGGAAACAUGAUCUUCUAUCAUUUACUGUACUGUUCUUCUCAAUGUUCUGCACUUGCUUUUUUUGGACUCAGCUGUCUACCAUAUCCUCAUCUUCAAAACUUUCCCACAGUAUUUUCUAGAACUAUCCAUCUAGAAUAAUAAUAAUAAUAAUAAAACCUAUCUUCAACUUCUACAUUGCCUGCCAUAAGUGAAACUUGACUCAUCUGAAGAUAUCACCUGUACUGUUUCCCUCUUAAUGCUGGUUGCUUAUUUUCGGACACACACACACACCCCUGGAUGGUGAGGUGGUAUUUCUGAACUCCCUAAACUGCAGUGGCACUUCUAGCAAUGAGACACCAUUCUCUUGUAAAACUAACAAAAAACACAUGCACAUACUGUAUUGGUUUGUUUUCAAAUUGCUAUAAAGAAAUACCUGAGACUGGGUAAUUUAUUAAAAAAAAAAAAAGAGGUUUCAUUGGCUCACGGUUCUGUAGCCUGUAUAGGAAGCACAGCAGCUUUUGCUUCUAGGGAGGCCUCAGGAAACUUACAAUCAUGGUGGAAAGCAAAGCGGAAGCAGGCACAUCUUAUAUGGCUGGAGUAGGAGCAAGGUGGUACAGAUGGAGCCACAUACAUGUAAACAGCCAGAUCUCUUGAGAACUCAUUCACCAUACAGUACCAAGAAGGGAUGGUGCUAAACCAUUCAUGAGAACUCUGCCUCCAUGAUCCAGUCCCCACGUCCAAAAAUUUGACUUAAGAUUUGGUGGGACACUAAUCCAACUCACCUACACACACACACACACACUCUCACACUAAACACAUUUGAGAUUCAUUUGAGAUUCAUGAAAUUUCACUAUACAAUUCCAACUGCUUUCUUACUGCUAUCAUCUAACUUCUGGUAAUUGGUUCACUAACAUAUCUUCAUCCAAAUUCUGUCACUGCCAUCCUUCAUGACGUAUGAACCCUCUAUGCUUAACAUACUUGUCUCCGAAGAAUCUGUCCUCUGCCCUGUCGUACAUCCGUAUCUCUCACACUAUGAAUUUUGUUAUAAAUGCAGAUUAUCUCUACUACAGAAUUGCUAAUUCAGUUAUUACACUCUCUGAGUACAACUUGCUUUCCUAGCUAUGGUCAUUUCUGUACUUCAGUGAGAGUCCCAGUUCAUGGCAUUUCCAAAUUCGUAGAGUUCUUUAGGCGUCUCAUUUUUGUUAUCAACAUUACUUUCUAAUCAUAAAUCUUGUUCAGAAUUUCUUGUUAACAACUUCUUUUCAUCAUUAUAUCAAAAGUGUCAAUUCUUCUCCGCGUAUUUUCAAACUUGAACUCAGCCUCCCAGUUCCCAGCCAAAGAACAAUCUUAUCUCUUCACAUAGAAAAUAUGAUAUCACCCUCAAUUUCUGCUUCCACCUAUACAAACCUAUCUACACUUACCUCUAUUUUGUCCUGCUUCCUUCUGCUUAAGCAUAGGUACUUGGGGACUGUUUCCUCUCACAUUCAAAGAAAUCUUUUCUUAUGUGAGUUCUCCAUUAUCUCCUAUCUAUUCGUCAACAUUCUCACAUUAAGAUCCUAAUUGUUCCAAGGAAAAUGUUUCUGCUUUUUUAGCUUUAUGGAUUUUCUACGUUGAUUCAUUUUCAUGUAAAUAGAAAGUGUGGGCUAAACUUUUAUCUACCUUAUUGAAUAUUAAGUAAACUAAAAUGCUUAAAAAGCGAUUUUUCAUACCGAAGAACUAAACUUUUCUCUGUACUUGGACACUUUGAUAAAUCAUAAUUGGUAGUUUACAGAUGGGAAGCUUACUUGCAAAUGUUCUAAAGAUGAAUGCUUCCUUUUGUAUGACAUUUUGAUAUAAAUUAAGAUCCAUGUGUUUCAUAUAUUGCUGAAAAAAAAAUAGUGUUAAAACAAUACUUCCUCUGCUGAAUAUAUGUGAAACUAUAUCUUUGAUUAGUGAUUCUGUCUCCUCUUCCACAGCAAAAAAUAACCCUCAAAUUUCUGUAAUUCUUUCCUGCUUCCUUUGCUUCUGCUAUGAAUGUUUUCUUAUGACACUGGAAAAAGUUUUAGUAGCUAACUAUAUAUAUUCACAUACAUACAUAUGUGUGUAUAUGUAUAUCUAUAUAUAUGUGCAUAUCAUGUGUACAUAUUUAUACAUACACAUUUAUAUCACAAUGACAGUAGAUAUAGCAUUAUAUGGCUCCUCUCCCACCUGUUAUUUUAGGAGCAGCUGUAAUUCUUAAAUAAGCGUUUAUUCUAUUGAUGUCCCCAGAGGUUGUCCCCAUUUGCGCCCAGGAACUCAUUCCUUACCCGUAAUGUAGCAUCUGCUGCUAUUUUUGUUUCUUAUUUUUCCUGUGAGGAGAUGCUGCAGGAACUACAGACCCAGGAAAUCAACUGUUAUGACUGACUCUCAAUUAAAAUCAGUGCCUGCCUCUGAGCUAUUGAUGAUUCUAAAAAGUACAGCAUCCACUACCAUUACUUCCUUAUGUAUAAGGGCUGUCACUCUUUAAGCAAAAUAAACAGAUUUUUGAGCAUCAUCUCUUUUUUGGAUCAUCAUUUUGCAAGUGGAGAUUGUGCUUUUUUUUCUGAAGCUUUGGUAGUGUAACUGUAAGAGUCCUGGAAUUGGAAAAGCAAAUCCAGAAGUUGAGUUCCAUGACUUUUUUGCUGUUUGCCUUUGGACUUGCAUCAUUUAUAUUUUUAAUUCAUCGAGGAUGAGAAAAUUGAUUAACACAAAAUCUUUUCAUGUCUUUUCUGAUGAGAGACUAGCUGAAUCCAAGAAGAGAAGCCCUUGAAGAGUGUAUUCUAUUCUAGACAAGCAUUCACACAUUGGCUUCUUUGGUGCCAGGUAAUUAGAAUUUGUAAUUUGGUCUUAAUUAAACUGCAGACUACCCAAAGGCCUUGAUCAGUGGCCUUUUGACUGCCUCCACCGUUUGGAGGAAACAAACAAAACACAAAUUAGCCUUUAAAAAUAUGCCCAUUGAUUUCUCCUCAUCUCCCCAAACAUAUACAACCCCACCAGAUAUAUAUUUAUAUUGGCUAUAAAAAUAUGCCCAUUGAUUUCUCCUCAUCUCCCCAAACAUAUACAACCCCACCAGAUAUAUAUUUAUAUUGGGUAUAAUGUCAACAUAUAUCAAAUGUGCCAAUUAAACACAGAGCUCCUCUAAACUACCAAGCAUGUUAUUAUUAUUAUUUUAAUUUUUAAAACAUUUCUAACUUAACAGAAACAUUGGCCGGGCAGCACUAAUUGUAUCAUUCCUAUGUACUACCAACUUCUCACCAGUAUUGAACUUGAUCUUCAAAACUCUUCCCAGAUAGGGCUAUUUUUCCACUGACUCUAUUGUUAUUCCUUCCCAUUUUCCCUCCUCUGUUUUUGAUGCUUUUUAUUUUGGUUAGCAUGUUUCUGAUCAGCAUGAAAACUGCGCAGGAGCUUUUCUGUCUUGCAGAGCUAGUUAAUGAGAUUGUUGCUGCCUUCAGAUUCUAUAAAGGACUUCUCCAAUAUUGGAUUAAAGAAUGAAGAAAGGAUCAAAUUGAGACAUCCAGGGGGGAAGAGUUCCCUGGCAAAACUCCAAUCUGCCUGAGCACUGAGGUGGAGCCACAGAAGUCCGGGUCAUUUGCACCUGGGAGGAGCCUGGCCCCUCCUCUUCCUGUGUGGAAUCUGGGAUUUAAUCUGUGAGGAGGGAAGGCCAAGGGCAGGAAGCACAGGCUCUCACUUCACUAAGAGUCUCUGUUUCCCCUUUUUUUCCUUUAUGCCUAAUUAAUAAAUCCCAUUUUUCUCACUCUUCAAAUAGUCUUCAAGCCUAAAUUUUCAUGACCAUGGAACAAGGACCCCAUCUUUAGCUGAACUAAGGAAAAGUCCUGCAACAAAAUUCUUUGCUAAAAAUACAUGAGGUUGCCUUUUCCUUCUUAAUCUUAAAAGAAAUAUAUUUCAAUGGUUAACGUUUUAGUAAUUCAAAAAUUAUCAAGCAUUUGUUCACAACCAUAAGAUGUGCAUUGUUUUAUAUUCCUACUUAAUAAUAGACUAUAAUUGUCUAAUUAGACUGCCGAUGUUGAUCUUUGUGGCUCAUUGCAUUGAUUAUAAGCAGUGUUUUGGGUUUGUGUGUGUGUGUCAAAUUUAGGGUUUUUUUGGUAUGGCUGCUGGUUGGUGUAGCCUGUAUCCAGUAUCCUGUAUUAAUUCUAAUAUUUGCAUUUUGAACAUAUUUACAAGUUGCUAAAAUAGCAAAGCUUCGAGAUGAGCCUGGCUGAUAUGGCAAAACCCCGUCUCUACUAAAAAUACAAAAAUUAGCCUGGUGUGGUGGUGCAUGCCUGUAAUCCCAGCUACUUGGAAGUCUGAGGCAGGAGAAUCUCUUGAACCCAGAAGGUGGAGGUUGCAGUGGGCCAAGAUCGCACCACUGCACUCCAGCCUCGGUGAUAGAGCGAGACUACGUCUCAAAAAUAAAAUAAAAUAAAAUAAAAUAAAAAUAGCAAAGCUAUGUAUGGUUUCUCUGAGUUUUGUAAUUUAUCAUUGUUAACUGCAGAAAUUUAUUAUAUGAGACAUAUUAUAUGAGACAUAUAAGUGAAUUUGGAUUGGGUUUAAUUUUAUAUUUUUGAAUAUAGUUCUUCAAGAUAAAUUUUAUCUUAGACCUCAAGAAAUAAAAAUAAAAUAAAUUAGAUAUACAAACGA
RNAcentral lists this long non-coding RNA (6158 nucleotides) under Homo sapiens (human). RNAcentral describes it as "non-protein coding LINC02328:40". The record is from RNAcentral. Lineage: Eukaryota; Metazoa; Chordata; Mammalia; Primates; Hominidae.